This 1462-nucleotide long non-coding RNA is filed under the name Zostera marina. Its description in RNAcentral is "long non-coding RNA (ZMAR_LNC000610)". The record is from RNAcentral. Lineage: Eukaryota; Viridiplantae; Streptophyta; Magnoliopsida; Alismatales; Zosteraceae.
UCUUACACAAGUUGAAUUUUAUCUUGUAUAGAUAUUUGAAAUCCCAUGCAAGAGAAUAAUACAAAGGGAAACAUUUUUCAAAAGGUUGCUUCUAAAAGUUUCUAAGAAUCUAAAAGAUAAUAUCAAGAAGCACUUUUUCCCAAAUGAACUCAAAGUAUGUGCUAACACACAUCUCAAGAGGAAGAUUUAAUGAUCACCAAGAGUGCUCCCAAAGAUAAAAUCAAAGAAGCAUUUCUUCCCAAAUGAACUCAAAUUAUGUGCCAACACAUAUCUCAAGAGGAUGAUCGAUCCAAUGGUCAUCAAGAGUGCUCCCAAGAUAAGAUCAAGAUGCACCUCUUUCAAAAUAACCUCAAACUAUGUGCCAACACACAUCUCAAGAGGAAGAUCUAGUGGUCAUCAAAGAUACUCUAUGCUAUAAAUAGACACCAUAGGGAAACACUUAAAGGUAACACACCACUCUUCAUUCUUGCCAAAAAUUGCCCAAUCAUCCAAGAGAGCUCUAGCCUUGAAGUCUUCAAGUGUUCAAGGUUUCCAAGGUGUUCUCCAAAGCAAGUGUUCAUCUUCUUGCUUCCAACUCUCAUACUUCCAUCGGAAUGUUGCCAUUCAAAGCCCUAUAUGGAAGGGAAGCACCGGCAUUUACAUCUUUUGUUGGAAGUUCGUCUGUUGUCGAGGCUGUCCAAGAUCGAUGAUCUACAAAGAAGAUCAUUAAAUAUAAAAUCAGUUAAAGAAAAUAUGGAAAAAGCACAAUACUAUAUAAAAGAAGUAGCGGAUAAGAAAAGAGUGGAAGUCGAGAGCUUGUUGUUGGGGAAUGGGUUAUGGUCACUGUGAGCGUCUACACCCAAAAAUAUUGUCGUCGCGAUAUUUUGGGUCUUUUCAAGUGUUAAAAAUAAUUAACAGGGUGUCAUAUGAAAUCGAUUUACCCGAGACUAGCAAAAUUCAUAAAGUAUUUCACAUAUCAAGAUUAAAAAACACAAAGGGGAAAAUCCAGAUCAACAAGCACAAGCGUUACCUGAACUAUUGUGGAAGAACUAGAUUUUCACAGUCCCGAUGGCCAUAUUGGGAGCUAGUAGAACUACUCGUUCAGUGUGAGGGAGUUUUCACCUGAAGAGGCGUCGUGGGAGGUAAUGUUGGACCUGUCCAGAGCGUUUCCGUCACUCAACCUUGAGGGCAAGGUUGGUCUGAACGGUAGUGGUGACGAUAGAUACACAUGUCAAAGGAAAGUAGUAUUACAUGAUAUGCAAGAGAGACUGAAUAAUGAAGAUAGAAGAGAGGAAGAAGCAACGAAGGACAUACCUAGAUAGGAAGAGCAGAUCUGGGAGGAGGCAUCGGUGGAAGCUGAUGGAGAAGAGGAAGAACGUUACCAACCUUGAUCAUGUCUAUUACAUCGAAUUUACGUCGUACAUGUGUUAGUGACUUGUGCAAUACAUUAUUUUACAUCGUACAUGUGUUAAUGUCUUAUGCA